GAUGAACGCUGGCGGCGUGCUUAAUACAUGCAAGUCGAGCGACGAGACGAGCCGUUUGCUCCUCUGACGUUAGCAACAGACGGGUGAGUAACACGUGGAUAAGCGACUUAUAGGACUAGGGUAACUUCGGGAAACCGGAGCUAACACGGGUGAAUACACUGAAACGAAGGGCGCAAUGGUGAACGACGGUUUUGCCGCCACCUAUAGGUGAAUCCGGGCCGCAUCAGCUAGUUGGUAAGAUAACGGCUUACCAAGGCAACGAGGCGUAGCCGACCUGUGAGGGUGAUCGGCCACACUGGAACUGAGACACGGAGCAGACUCCUACGGGAGGCAGCGGGGGGGAAGCGGCCGAAAUUGGGGAAAGCCUGACGGAGCAACGCCGCGUGAGUGCUGAAGGGCUUCGGAUCGUAGGACUGUAAUAUUCGGGAAGAAGAAAUGUGUAAGGAGCUAUGGACGGCUUGACGGUACCGAGUCAGAAAGCAACGGCUAACUACGUG
RNAcentral lists this ribosomal RNA (497 nucleotides) under uncultured bacterium. RNAcentral's name for it is "partial 16S ribosomal RNA". It matches the Rfam family "Bacterial small subunit ribosomal RNA", at positions 28 to 507 of the family's 1533-position model. The record is from RNAcentral.